RNAcentral lists this ribosomal RNA (406 nucleotides) under uncultured bacterium. RNAcentral describes it as "partial 16S ribosomal RNA". It matches the Rfam family "Bacterial small subunit ribosomal RNA", at positions 30 to 526 of the family's 1533-position model. The record is from RNAcentral.
AUUGAACGCUGGCGGCAGGCCUAACACAUGCAAGUCGAACGAGUGGCGGACGGGUGAGUAAUGUCUGGGAAACUGCCCGAUGGAGGGGGAUAACUACUGGAAACGGUAGCUAAUACCGCAUACCAUCGGCUUUGCCCAGAUGGGUAUAGCUAGUAGGUGGGGUAAAGGGUCAACUAGGCGACGAUCCCUAGCUGGUCUGAGAGGAUGACCAGUCACACCGGAACUGAGACACGGUCCAGACUCCUACGGGAGGCAGCAGUGGGAAAUAUUGCACAAAGGGCGCAAGCCUGAUGCAGCCAUGCCGCGUGUGUGAAGAAGGCCUUCGGGUUGUAAAGCACUGUCAGCGGGGAGGCGUUACCCGCAGAAGAAGCACCGGCUAACUCCGUGCCAGCAGCCGCGGUAAUUC